GGGACUCUACGGCCUCCGUAGUUCCCCAAAGCGAUUGGCGGAGUGGCAGUAGUCCUCUGAGCGUAGUAAUUUUUUAUCUCGCUUUUGUUAGGUGCUGCCCCCCCGGCCGUUAAACCCCCCCAAUUUUUUCUGGUUGACCUCGGAUCAGGUAGGAAUACCCGCUGAACUUAAGCAUAUCAAUAAGCGGAGGAAAAGAAACCAACAGGGAUUCCCCUAGUAACGGCGAGUGAAGCGGGAACAGCUCAAAUUUGAAAUCUGGCCCUUGGGUCCGAGUUGUAAUUUGUAGAGGAUGCUUUUGGUGCGGUGCCUUCCGAGUUCCCUGGAACGGGACGCCUUAGAGGGUGAGAGCCCCGUACGGUUGGACGCCUAGCCUCUGUAAAGCUCCUUCGACGAGUCGAGUAGUUUGGGAAUGCUGCUCUAAAUGGGAGGUAUAUUUCUUCUAAAGCUAAAUACUGGCCAGAGACCGAUAGCGCACAAGUAGAGUGAUCGAAAGAUGAAAAGCACUUUGAAAAGAGGGUUAAAUAGCACGUGAAAUUGUUGAAAGGGAAGCGUUUAUCACCAGACUUUUUCUGGGGGGAUCAUCCGGUGUUCUCACCGGUGCACUUCCCCCAGUUGAGGCCAGCAUCGGUUUUCGGAGGGGGAUAAAAGCUUCGGGAAUGUGACUCCC
RNAcentral lists this unclassified non-coding RNA (667 nucleotides) under Nigrospora oryzae. RNAcentral describes it as "sequence contains ITS2, 28S rRNA gene". The stretch from base 135 to 667 matches the Rfam family "Eukaryotic large subunit ribosomal RNA", at positions 1 to 544 of the family's 3401-position model. The record is from RNAcentral. Lineage: Eukaryota; Fungi; Ascomycota; Sordariomycetes; Amphisphaeriales; Apiosporaceae.